GACGAACGCUGGCGGCGUGCUUAACACAUGCAAGUCGAACGGAAAGGCCCUGCUUUUGUGGGGUGCUCGAGUGGCGAACGGGUGAGUAACACGUGAGUAACCUGCCCUUGACUUUGGGAUAACUUCAGGAAACUGGGGCUAAUACCGGAUAGGAGCUCCUGCUGCAUGGUGGGGGUUGGAAAGUUUCGGCGGUUGGGGAUGGACUCGCGGCUUAUCAGCUUGUUGGUGGGGUAGUGGCUUACCAAGGCUUUGACGGGUAGCCGGCCUGAGAGGGUGACCGGCCACAUGGGGACUGAGAGACGGCCCAGACUCCAACGGGAGGCAGCAGUGGGGAAUAUUGCACAAUGGGCGGAAGCCGGAGGCAGCAACGCCGCGUGCGGGAUGACGGCCUUCGGGGUGUAAACCGCUUUCGCCUGUGACGAAGCGUGAGUGACGGUAAUGGGUAAAGAAGCACCGGCUAACUACGUG
RNAcentral lists this ribosomal RNA (468 nucleotides) under uncultured bacterium. RNAcentral describes it as "partial 16S ribosomal RNA". It matches the Rfam family "Bacterial small subunit ribosomal RNA", at positions 28 to 507 of the family's 1533-position model. The record is from RNAcentral.